This is a long non-coding RNA of Eupeodes corollae, 790 nucleotides long. RefSeq lists it as uncharacterized. The record is from RefSeq and is a predicted model, not a curated record. NCBI's taxonomy places the organism in Eukaryota, Metazoa, Arthropoda, Insecta, Diptera, Syrphidae. The transcript is spliced from 3 exons.
GGCAAAUGAGCUGGGCCGACAAGAAUCCCCAAGAAGCCAAACAGAUUCAAAUCAGUCUCUCGGCAGCUACUGACGAUGUCAGCGAGUGGAUUCCAUCGAUUUUCACACAGAAAAUCAACAUCAAAAAAAUCACCACAAUUCAGUAGCGUCAUGGUCAACCUGCCGAUCAACCAUUCACAGUGAAUAACCUCUAUUCGUAGCGGAAACGGUCCCUGUGUUGUCGACAAUGCGAACACAAUGUCAUCAAGCCGGAGUACCAUCCAGGAUCGAUCAAGUAUCGCAUUCAAUUGUUUACUCACUACCAUGUGCCCGACGUUCUGCUUGUGUGUUGUGAAAAUCCACUGAAGCCUGGCACGUCCACUGAAUUGAUCCUCAAGUUAACUAACCCAACGAUGUACCAUAUGACCACAACCAUUAUGAAACUGCCAACCAAGGAAGAGGAACGACGAAUGAUCGACUUCAAAUAAAAGUUCAACGAAAGUAACCAAAAUUCACCACUUGGAGAAAGUCCAAUAAAGUAACAAUCAAAUUGAACUUCACACCUGAAGAGGGACUAAAACCAGGCGAUUAUGUUACCCUUAGUUUCUUGAUGAAAUAUACUUUUGUGAAUCCAUACACACGCCCGAAAAGAAAGGACGUCGAAAACACGCAGUUUUUGCAAAAGUUGGUCAAAUUGAAGCCUAGAUUUAUUUCUAUGUAUAUCUAGAAAAUAAUCUUUUUUGCAAACAACUUGUUUAUUUAUUUUGAGCUAUUGUGUAAUUUUGAAUAUAUUGUAUAUUCUACUGUUUCU